AGUGAACGCUGGCGGUAGGCCUAACACAUGCAAGUCGAACGGCAGCACAGUAAGAGCUUGCUCUUACGGGUGGCGAGUGGCGGACGGGUGAGGAAUACAUCGGAAUCUACUUUUUCGUGGGGGAUAACGUAGGGAAACUUACGCUAAUACCGCAUACGACCUACGGGUGAAAGCAGGGGAUCUUCGGACCUUGCGCGAUUGAAUGAGCCGAUGUCGGAUUAGCUAGUUGGCGGGGUAAAGGCCCACCAAGGCGACGAUCCGUAGCUGGUCUGAGAGGAUGAUCGGCCACACUGGAACUGGGACACGGUCCAGACUCCUACGGGAGGCAGCAGUGGGGAAUAUUGGACAAUGGGCGCAAGCCUGAUCCAGCCAUACCGCGUGGGUGAAGAAGGCCUUCGGGUUGUAAAGCCCUCUUGUUGGGAAAGAAAAGCAGCAGGUUAAUACCCCGCUGUUCUGACGGUACCCAAAGAAUAAGCACCGGCUAACUUCGUG
This 492-nucleotide ribosomal RNA is filed under the name uncultured bacterium. RNAcentral's name for it is "partial 16S ribosomal RNA". It matches the Rfam family "Bacterial small subunit ribosomal RNA", at positions 29 to 507 of the family's 1533-position model. The record is from RNAcentral.